This 1394-nucleotide unclassified non-coding RNA is filed under the name Acanthaster planci (crown-of-thorns starfish). RNAcentral describes it as "uncharacterized LOC110981824, transcript variant X1". The record is from RNAcentral. Lineage: Eukaryota; Metazoa; Echinodermata; Asteroidea; Valvatida; Acanthasteridae.
UUCUCUUGCUUAACGGUUAUGUCACUUGUCGCCUGCCUGACAUGUAGUAAGGGACUUUGGUACCACAGUGCUACCGCAGGGCCAUUCCAUUGCAGUGCAAGAAAGACACCGACAAGACAGAAAUAAGCUACGCUUUUUCCACUCAGCUGCACUCUACAACAACCAGCUCUCAGCAAGGAAUGUUCAUUGUGUAAAGCGUGUGGUAGACACAUCCUCCAUUGCCAUGGAGACAGCUGUGCUUGCAGAGGUUACCAACCAAUUUCCAUGUCAGGAAACGAAAGUGUUCCCUACGUCAAGCGAUUAAGAGUUGAUACUUUCUUCACGUCGCAGAAACACCUGUGGAAGUUUGAUUGGCUAUCGGAAAUCACGACAAGGUCGGACCAAGUCAUGUCUGGUUGUUACAAGACUGAAUGCAAGAUGUCCCCAGCAGCCUUACAUUCCUUAGAUGUUAGUUGGUUGACCCUGUAACGCAAGAUGUCCAAGUCGGCUCCAUACAUUAGCUGGUCCCUCUCGCAGCUUCAGCAUCACAGACUUCAAGGCUAGAGCAAGGCUCGAAAUCUUGACUGCAACUUUCUUCAGCUGUUGGCUAAGAAUAUUUGGACAAGUCAUAUCUUAUAAAUUUCAAGUUCAGCAAAUACUUAUUCUGAAACGCUUGUUGCAUAAGUUUACAAGAGAAAAGGCCAUCUUUCUCUGUAAUAAUAGUGGUCUUUGAAAUCAGAGACACAAAUAUUGUUCUGGUAACAUUUUCAAACUGUUGUAGGUUUGUAAUUUCAAAAGGCUGGCAUUUGGCCAUAUAUUUUUCAAUAAAACAGGGAAAGUGGAUUUUAUUUGAUAUCAAGUCUCUUCAUUUUGUUGUGUGUCUUUUAUGGUAAUUUAUUUUUAGAUAAAAAUAAUGAACCUUAACAGAAUUUACUCUGGAAGCUAAUGAAAUAGCUAUAAACGGUUAGGGUCCUAUAUACAGAUUCACAUUUCCCUAAAAGUGGUAUAUUUCAAGUUGGCCAUCAGAAAGCGAUAAAUGCCCUAAAAAGUCAAACUUUGUAGGGAAAAAUGUCAAAGCAUUACUUGGAAAAUACUUCAGACCAGUCUGUAGGGUUUGUGCAAAAGAUGUCAGGUGAUGUCCUUGUAUGAAACUCCGCUACGAACUACGUGUAUUUUUAUUGGAAAACGUGUUCUUUGGGAAAUGGUGAUUAACAAAGCUUAUGGAUUUAAAGGAAAUGGUACGAAAAUUGAAGCAAACGUGAUAUGUGCACAGUCACAAUGUAAUUGUAAUCUGCUAACUAAGCAUUUAAACCAAGGCUUGCAUUAGGAAUUCUUUCACGUUAAGACCGCGAACUGAAGGCCCAAACUGUGCCACACUAUACAUUUAGUCGAAUGAAUCGCCGUACUCAUGGGUC